UUGAACGCUGGUGGCAUGCUUAACACAUGCAAGUCGAACGGAAACGAUACUAGCUUGCUAGUAGGCGUCGAGUGGCGAACGGGUGAGUAACGCGUAGGAAUCUGUCCAUCUGUGGGGGAUACCAGUUGGAAACGACUGUUAAUACCGCAUAAUAUCUGCGGAUUAAAGGUGGCCUUUGUGCUGCCGCAGAUGGAUGAGCCUGCGUUAGAUUAGCUUGUUGGUGGGGUAAAGGCCUACCAAGGCUACGAUCUAUAGCUGAUUUGAGAGGAUGAUCAGCCACAUUGGGACUGAGACACGGCCCAAACUCCUACGGGAGGCAGCAGUGGGGAAUAUUGGACAAUGGGGGCAACCCUGAUCCAGCAAUGCCAUGUGUGUGAAGAAGGCUCUAGGGUUGUAAAGCACUUUAGUUGGGGAGGAAAGCUCAUGAGUUAAUAGCUGUGGGAAGGACGUUACCCAAAGAAUAAGGACCGG
Molecule: ribosomal RNA, 471 nt
Filed under: uncultured Francisellaceae bacterium
Lineage: Bacteria; Pseudomonadati; Pseudomonadota; Gammaproteobacteria; Thiotrichales; Francisellaceae
Description: bacterial SSU rRNA
Rfam family: Bacterial small subunit ribosomal RNA
Source: RNAcentral